CCCUAUAUAGCUCAGUUGGUAAAGAAUCUGCCUGCAAUGCAGGAGACCCCGGUUCCAUUCCUGGGUUGGGAA
Molecule: transfer RNA, 72 nt
Filed under: Bos taurus (domestic cattle)
Lineage: Eukaryota; Metazoa; Chordata; Mammalia; Artiodactyla; Bovidae
Also listed under: 1 other name
Rfam family: tRNA
About the family: Transfer RNA (tRNA) molecules are approximately 80 nucleotides in length.
Source: Rfam by way of RNAcentral